This is a long non-coding RNA of Folsomia candida, 442 nucleotides long. RefSeq lists it as uncharacterized. Lineage: Eukaryota; Metazoa; Arthropoda; Collembola; Entomobryomorpha; Isotomidae. The record is from RefSeq and is a predicted model, not a curated record. The transcript has 3 exons.
UUGGAAUAACCCAGUUCUUCGCCAGCUUUGAUAAAGUAUUCGGCCAUCCCAACAAACGGCGGUACUUGGAGCGGAAUUUCUCCACCGGUUCCAUGAAACUCAUCUACAAAAGAAAUGUCUCUUAUUUAAGAAAUGAUGACUUUAUCGGAGAAUGAACUCACUCGAUCAAUCAAGGCACCACCACUCCAUUUCUGCGGAACAGUUUUAUACAUCCAGUCAAGCCCAGGGUGAUUUAAUAACAUGAAGGACAUUGCCGGUACUGAAAACCAAGGAUUGGGUUCACCUCCAGCUACAAAUUUUGAAAAUAUGUGCUUAUACUUGAGAAGUACGUCAAAGUGCUUCGAUAAACGAUUCGCAACAACAGAACCGGCUGAGCCGCCCCCAACUUAAGGGAACGUGCCAAACAUAAAUUAUAAAUACAAUUGUGUUACGUAUUUUUUGU